RNAcentral lists this ribosomal RNA (252 nucleotides) under uncultured Bacteroidales bacterium. RNAcentral's name for it is "partial 16S ribosomal RNA". It matches the Rfam family "Bacterial small subunit ribosomal RNA", at positions 524 to 776 of the family's 1533-position model. Lineage: Bacteria; Pseudomonadati; Bacteroidota; Bacteroidia; Bacteroidales. The record is from RNAcentral.
UACGGAGGAUGCGAGCGUUAUCCGGAUUUAUUGGGUUUAAAGGGUGCGCAGGCGGAUUUUUAAGUCAGCGGUCAAAUCGUGGGGCUCAACCCCGUCGAGCCGUUUGAACUGGCGCGCUUGAGUUCAGGCGAGGUAGGCGGAAUUCGUGGUGUAGCGGUGAAAUGCAUAGAUAUCACGCAGAACCCCGAUUGCGAAGGCAGCAUACCGGUGCACAACUGACGCUCAGGCACGAAAGCGUGGGUAUCGAACAGG